GUGCUCGCUUCGGCAGCACAUAUACUAAAAUUGGAACGAUACAGAGAUUAGCACGGCCCCUGCGCAAGGAUGACUGCAAAUUUGUGAAGCGUUCCAUAUCUCU
RNAcentral lists this small nuclear RNA (103 nucleotides) under Tursiops truncatus (common bottlenose dolphin). Lineage: Eukaryota; Metazoa; Chordata; Mammalia; Artiodactyla; Delphinidae. The record is from RNAcentral.